UUCUAAUUCAUAUUUACCGAUUUAGCCAUUAAGAUUUCCUGUGAGGUAACGUACCGGUUCGCCGAUUUAAAUAGUCAUAACCUAAAGUUUAUUUUAAAAAUUUAUUUGUACUGGACUCUAAAAUUUAUUAAAACCGUUUAAACUUAAAUCUUUAUUUAUUAUCUCUAACGUUUUGGAUAUUUAUUGACGACUACAUAUAGCAUAGACAAGAAGGUUCUGAAGAAAUCUGAGAGGAAUAGAAGACAUUUUAUAACAAUAUUGUUUACCCAAAAGAAGAAAAGAUUUAUAGUACAUCAAAACAUCAGGAAGGGUUCAAGUUCUUAAAGCAAUGGAUAAACAUUCUAAGAGUGUCAAUGGAAAUACAGGUGCUUUCAAUGGCCACACGAUACAACCAAAUAGCAAGGACCAUGCAGCUGCUAAUACCUCGCUAAAUAUUUUAGAUACGAAAAUGGCCAAAGAAUAUGGAAAGACAGAAAUAGACGAAGACGAAACGGAGAAAAAUGACGAGACCUCAGAGGUCGUAGAUGUUUUAACUGAAACAGAUUUUGAAGUAAAAAAGUUAGAGUUAUUGGAGAAAGCUAAAGAAGCAAUGAAAGAGAUUAACAACAGUCAACACGAUCGCACAUCACAAGGACAUUUGACCGAAAGAUUGAGAGCAAGCAUUUUAAAAAUCUAUGAUUCUUACUUCUGGCUUAAGAAAAGUUCAAUUAAACGAAGAACUGAAUAUAGACUGCAACUUGCUGGAGAGCUCAUACUCGCCGAUAAUAACACUUUGGUGAUAUUCUGUGAUCUAUGUAAAAAUAUAUUUCAUUCUGGUUACAGAAACUGUGAAGGGAAACCGGUCGGAGCAAUAUUCAAGCCAUUAAAGAACAUGAUUGUCUUUUUACAAAAUAUUACCGACAACA
Molecule: long non-coding RNA, 905 nt
Organism: Mytilus californianus (California mussel)
Lineage: Eukaryota; Metazoa; Mollusca; Bivalvia; Mytilida; Mytilidae
Exons: 3
Source: RefSeq, a predicted model, not a curated record